Molecule: transfer RNA, 88 nt
Filed under: Vararia minispora EC-137
Lineage: Eukaryota; Fungi; Basidiomycota; Agaricomycetes; Russulales; Lachnocladiaceae
Description: tRNA-Ala
Rfam family: tRNA
About the family: Transfer RNA (tRNA) molecules are approximately 80 nucleotides in length. Their secondary structure includes four short double-helical elements and three loops (D, anti-codon, and T loops). Further hydrogen bonds mediate the characteristic L-shaped molecular structure. tRNAs have two regions of fundamental functional importance: the anti-codon, which is responsible for specific mRNA codon recognition, and the 3' end, to which the tRNAs corresponding amino acid is attached (by aminoacyl-tRNA synthetases). tRNAs cope with the degeneracy of the genetic code in two manners: having more than one tRNA (with a specific anti-codon) for a particular amino acid; and 'wobble' base-pairing, i.e. permitting non-standard base-pairing at the 3rd anti-codon position.
Source: RNAcentral
GGGCAAGUGGCACAGUGGUAGCGCGCCUGCUUCGCAUCUCUGCGGGGUCGAUUGCAUGAGGUCCUGGGUUCAAUCCCCAGCUUGUCCA